This 1238-nucleotide ribosomal RNA is filed under the name Candidatus Phytoplasma citri. RNAcentral describes it as "bacterial SSU rRNA". It matches the Rfam family "Bacterial small subunit ribosomal RNA", at positions 162 to 1399 of the family's 1533-position model. The record is from RNAcentral. Lineage: Bacteria; Bacillati; Mycoplasmatota; Mollicutes; Acholeplasmatales; Acholeplasmataceae.
GCUAAGACUGCAUACGAAGAAAUAAGGCAUCUUUUUUCUUUUAAAAGACCUAGUGAUAGGUAUACUUUAGGAGGGGCUUGCGCCAUAUUAGUUAGUUGGUAGGGUAAUGGCCUACCAAGACGAUGAUGUGUAGCUGGACUGAGAGGUUGAACAGCCACAUUGGGACUGAGACACGGCCCAAACUCCUACGGGAGGCAGCAGUAGGGAAUUUUCGGCAAUGGAGGAAACUCUGACCGAGCAACGCCGCGUGAACGACGAAGUACUUUGGUAUGUAAAGUUCUUUUAUCAAGGAAGAAAAGCAAGUGGUGAACCAUUUGUUUGCCGGUACUUGAUGAAUAAGCCCCGGCUAAUUAUGUGCCAGCAGCCGCGGUAAGACAUAAGGGGCAAGUGUUAUCCGGAAUUAUUGGGCGUAAAGGGUGCGUAGGCGGUCUAGUAAGUCAGUGGUGUAAUGGCAACGCUCAACGUUGUCCGGCUAUUGAAACUGCUAAACUUGAGUUAGAUAGAGGCGAGUGGAAUUCCAUGUGUAGCGGUAAAAUGCGUAAAUAUAUGGAGGAACACCAGAGGCGUAGGCGGCUCGCUGGGUCUUAACUGACGCUGAGGCACGAAAGCGUGGGGAGCAAACAGGAUUAGAUACCCUGGUAGUCCACGCCGUAAACGAUGAGUACUAAGUGUCGGGUUAAACCGGUACUGAAGUUAACACAUUAAGUACUCCGCCUGAGUAGUACGUACGCAAGUAUGAAACUUAAAGGAAUUGACGGGACUCCGCACAAGCGGUGGAUCAUGUUGUUUAAUUCGAAGAUACCCGAAAAACCUUACCAGGUCUUGACAUGUUUUUGCGAAACGGUAGUAAUAUCGUGGAGGUUAUCAGAAACACAGGUGGUGCAUGGUUGUCGUCAGCUCGUGUCGUGAGAUGUUAGGUUAAGUCCUAAAACGAGCGAAACCCUUAUCGUUAGUUGCCAGCACGUUAUGGUGGGGACUUUAACGAGACUGCCAGUGAUAAAUUGGAGGAAGGUGAGGAUCACGUCAAAUCAGCAUGCCCCUUAUGACCUGGGCUACAAACGUGAUACAAUGGCUGUUACAAAGGGUAGCUGAAACGCAAGUUCUUGGCCAAUCCCCAAAAACAGUCUCAGUCCGGAUUGAAGUCUGCAACUCGACUUCAUGAAGUUGGAAUCGCUAGUAAUCGCGAAUCAGCAUGUCGCGGUGAAUACGUUCUCGGGGUUUGUACACACCGCCCGUCA